This 387-nucleotide ribosomal RNA is filed under the name uncultured bacterium. Its description in RNAcentral is "bacterial SSU rRNA". It matches the Rfam family "Bacterial small subunit ribosomal RNA", at positions 30 to 419 of the family's 1533-position model. The record is from RNAcentral.
AUUGAACGCUGGCGGCAUGCCUUACACAUGCAAGUCGAACGGCAGCGGGCCUUCGGGUGCCGGCGAGUGGCGAACGGGUGAGUAAUGCAUCGGAACGUGCCAUUGAGUGGGGGAUAACGUAGCGAAAGUUACGCUAAUACCGCAUAUUCUGUGAGCAGGAAAGCAGGGGACCGCAAGGCCUUGCGCUCUUUGAGCGGCCGAUGUCAGAUUAGCUAGUUGGUGAGGUAAAGGCUUACCAAGGCGACGAUCUGUAGCGGGUCUGAGAGGAUGAUCCGCCACACUGGAACUGAGACACGGUCCAGACUCCUACGGGAGGCAGCAGUGGGGAAUUUUGGACAAUGGGCGCAAGCCUGAUCCAGCCAUGCCGCGUGAGUGAAGAAGGCCUCG